This 506-nucleotide ribosomal RNA is filed under the name uncultured bacterium. Its description in RNAcentral is "partial 16S ribosomal RNA". It matches the Rfam family "Bacterial small subunit ribosomal RNA", at positions 29 to 523 of the family's 1533-position model. The record is from RNAcentral.
AGUGAACGCUGGCGGUAGGCCUAACACAUGCAAGUCGAACGGCAGCACAGGAGAGCUUGCUCUCUGGGUGGCGAGUGGCGGACGGGUGCGGAAUACAUCGGAAUCUACUCUGUCGGGGGGGAUGACGGAGGGAAACUUACGCUAAUACCGCAUGCGACCUCCGGGUGAAAGCAGGGCACCUUCGGGCCUUGCGAGAUUGAAUGGGCCGAUGUCGGAUUAGCUAGUUGGCGGGGUAAAGGCCCACCAAGGCGACGAUCCGUAGCUGGUCUGAGGGGAUGAUCAGCCACACUGAAACUGAGAAACGGUCCAGACUCCUACGGGAGGCAGCAGUGGGGAAUAUUGGACAAUGGGCGCAAGCCUGAUCCAGCCAUACCGCGUGGGUGAAGAAGGCCUUCGGGUUGUAAAGCCCUUUUGUUGGGAAAGAAAUCCAGCUGGCUAAUACCCGGUUGGGAUGACGGUACCCAAAGAAUAAGCACCGGCUAACUUCGUGCCAGCCGCCGCCGUAA